CCCAAUUUUAUUUGAGAGUGACGGGCGAUUUGUACAUUCUAUGAAAACUAUUUCAAAAUUUAAUUUUUUAAAAUUUUACUUUUGAGUCCUAUUUUAUAAAAUUUUAAGUAUUAAUCUAUUCUUUUAAAUUGUAAUUAAUUUACUCUUUAAUAUAUCUUUGUCUUGAUUUGAUUUAAAAAUUUUAAAAAAUUUUAUUUAAGAUUGAAAUUUUUAAAAAUAUGAUCAAUGAUAUAAAAAAAAAAUAAUUAAAGUUGUAUUAAUUGCGUGUUUUCUAUUUAAGAAACAAAAUCCCCCAAUAAUUUAUAGAACCGCCAUUUUAUUUAAAUUUUGUUUAUUUAACUACUCAUUUAAUUUUUUUUUAAAA
RNAcentral lists this ribosomal RNA (364 nucleotides) under Colopodacus sp. GD133. Its description in RNAcentral is "partial small subunit ribosomal RNA". Lineage: Eukaryota; Metazoa; Arthropoda; Arachnida; Trombidiformes; Eriophyidae. The record is from RNAcentral.